UACGAAGGGGGCUAGCGUUGCUCGGAAUCACUGGGCGUAAAGGGCGCGUAGGCGGCGUUUUAAGUCGGGGGUGAAGACCUGUGGCUCAACCACAGAAUGGCCUUCGAUACUGGGACGCUUGAGUAUGGUAGAGGUUGGUGGAACUGCGAGUGUAGAGGUGAAAUUCGUAGAUAUUCGCAAGAACACCGGUGGCGAAGGCGGCCAACUGGACCAUUACUGACGCUGAGGCGCGAAAGCGUGGGGAGCAAACAGG
RNAcentral lists this ribosomal RNA (253 nucleotides) under uncultured bacterium. RNAcentral describes it as "partial 16S ribosomal RNA". It matches the Rfam family "Bacterial small subunit ribosomal RNA", at positions 524 to 776 of the family's 1533-position model. The record is from RNAcentral.